CUAUUCCAGCAGAAGAAUCUUCAACUAGAACUCAGACAACACGAGCCAAUUUGGGGAACUGGGAAAUUAGAGAAAGAUUGAAGCACCAAGUCAAUUUCCUAUUGUUAAAGGAAUAUGAUUGGCAUUUUAAAAUGCCACUUAGGGAAUCCUAAAGGUAUAUGCUCUUGAAAGAGUCCAGUGAGAAGCAUAUGAAGACAAGACGAUGCCACCAAAAGGGCCAAAUAGAGAGUAGUUUGGUUGCUGAUAUUGAGCUCUUGCAAUAAUUUAGCAGCCUGAACUACAAGAGAAUACUGGAAGGAGUGUUCUGGCAAAGACAAACUCCCAUGGUACUUGCCUUUCAAGUAACAUGACAGUUACGUACAUCUCAUACCAACCAUUGACGAUCAAUAGCCAAGUCGUGGGUGAUAAACUCUCGAUUGCCAUUAAUCAACCAAUGGACAAUACCACACUGCCUAAAUUAAGAAUGUAUAAAUGCUAACAUCCGGCAACCAAACAUCCCAAAGAUAUCUCUUCAAUUUUCACUCAUCAAAUUAAGAUGUAACUCGCUUGUCAUCAGCUUAUAUGAUUUACUAAACAAAGGUACAAAUAUUCAUACUUACAAUGUUCUGGAUGCUCAAUGUUCUGGAUGCAUGUUGAGAAGAACGAAAAAAGUCCAUCUUCGAUGCGUUGAUGCGUGUGUAGGAAAAGUGGAGCUAGAUUGUAAUUAUAAUAAUUUUGAAAUAAAUUGGAUCUUAAGUCAUAAUAAAUCAUGGGUCUCAAGAACUGCUUAAAAAGUACCGUUUAAAGAAGAAAGAUAAUUGAUCUCAAAAAUUGCAGACUCAUUUCAGACUGGUUGUCUAGCAAAGCUUAAAAUGAAUAUUUUUUCAUCUUGAGCAAAACAUUUUUGAAAACUCAACCAGUAUAAAUAAAAAUAGAUAUUUCAUGCAUGUCUAUACCAAAAAGUAUAAAAAUUACAGCAUCUACAGUAAAACUCAAUUAUCCCAUAAAUUCUUCAUGGUUCUCAAAACUUAACAGAUAAAGGAUGAACAAAACAAUACUUCUACAACUUCAAUAUGCAAUAAUCAUGCUACAUGCAUGCAAAUGUUCACUGACCAUUAUACAUGUAAAAAUGUAGAAACAAUUAAGGAACCAACUUCAUUAACUAAUGCGUCUUAAUUUCCACAUAAAACUAUCUGUUCCAAUCACAAAUGAUACUUAUGAAAGGUACUGAUGAAAAGCUCAGCAAUUAUCUUAUUCAACUAGUAGGAUUCAUGUAAACAGGAAACCCACGGAGAGAUUUGAUUGCCCAAGUCUCAGAAAAUAUAAAGAGUCACUAGCUUGCAUCAAGUACAUUCAUAACUCAUAACAAUAAUCAAGUAAUGGUUGUCAAAACGAAAUUAAGAACUCUCCAACUGCUUUGUCAACACAUAACCUUUUGACCAAACAAUUGGAAUCUCAAAUAUAGCAACAGAUUAAGAGCACUUCUUUGCAGCAAUAUCCUUAACUAAAAUUAACUAUGUGGAAUAAAUGAACAGAGAUUCAUGCAAAAUAGGCAUAGAUCUAGAAAGGCAUGUAGGUAAGUUCUUAAACUUGGAGAGGAAAAUCCAAGUUGCACAAAAAACUAAACCAUAUUUAGCCAUUGUUAACAGUCAAAAAAACUCGAAGUUUGGAAACCAAUUGCAACAUGCAUAGUUAUUCAAAAGCAAAAACAAAACAAAAAAAAAAUUGAUAAGCUACUUUCUUUAUUAAGCUUUGAUAUUGUUAGGAUCAUAAAAACCCCUGAAAGAUCAUGCACAACUUUCAACACAAUUCAUGGAUCUCAAAGCAAUUUUAAAAAAGCUGACAUGUGCCAGUUUUAUUGAAAAAGUCCAAUCAUAUAUCAUAUGAGCUCAAAAUAACACGAAAACACUGCGACAAGGACCAGUACUUCACAGGACAUUCAACAAAUUUGAUAUCCCCAAUUGAAAUGAAUGCCGGCACCUUGAACACAUUAAACAAGUCAGUUCAACUAAAUUGAUGCAACCUAAGUUCUUAAAUCAAGGAGUAGAAUAUUAGGCAUGCAAAUAAAACACUUCAUUUCAAUAUCACAUAAACAAUCAACAAAUGAUGGAAACUUAGUAGGAAACAAAUGUGAAAAACUGGUUAGGAAUUCACGCAAGAGAAAAUGAAAAAAAAAAACAAAAUACAUAAAUUAAAAUAACCACAGAACAACCACGAUUGGUUACCUCACAUGCAAAUCAAAAACUAGGGAAAGUUACUAAAAGUAAAGGACAAAUCAAUAACCCAUAACUAAAAUUAUGAUCUAGCACAGGUCGACGCUCCUCUGACAAAUACCAACAAAUAGGGUACAACACCACCUUACAACUAUCAAUGUUUAGAGAAGAAAGAAAUUGGUGGAAGAAAAACCGUGAAAGGACGAAGUAGAAAGAAGACCUAGAGGAAGAAAUAGGAAUUAGGGAGAAGACAACUAGCAAGCUAAGAAGAAACCCAAGUUUUAACUCUAUUUUUUUCAUUUCACCAACAACCUUCCACAAUAGAGAUUCAGCCACUAUAUAUAGGAGGAGAAGGAGAAGAAGGGGAAAAGCAUUAAUUGGAUCACAUAAAUGUGCCUCCAAAACAACUAAUAAAAACCACUCAAGUCAGCCCUCACAAGAAGAAGCCAAAGCAUCCUCCACAGGAAUCAACAAGGAGAAAAACCGAGCAACUAGCAUCAGGGAAACCUAGUGAGCAGCCACAGGGAAAACUAAGCAGUGGCA
This is a long non-coding RNA of Dendrobium catenatum, 2735 nucleotides long. RefSeq lists it as uncharacterized. The record is from RefSeq and is a predicted model, not a curated record. Lineage: Eukaryota; Viridiplantae; Streptophyta; Magnoliopsida; Asparagales; Orchidaceae. The transcript has 2 exons.